Molecule: unclassified non-coding RNA, 377 nt
Filed under: uncultured Bryobacterales bacterium
Lineage: Bacteria; Pseudomonadati; Acidobacteriota; Terriglobia; Bryobacterales
Description: contains 16S-23S intergenic spacer region
Source: RNAcentral
UCCAGGUUAUCCCUGGCGGUCUCCUGCGAGUUCCGUCUUUCGACAUGGCAACACAGGACAAGGGUUGCGCUCGUUGCGGGACUUAACCCAACAUCUCACGACACGAGCUGACGACAGCCAUGCAGCACCUCGACUCCACCCCCUUGCGGGGUACCGGCAUUUCUGCCGGCGUUGAGAAGCCGUUCGAGCCUAGGUAAGGUUCUUCGCGUUGCGUCGAAUUGAACCACAUGCUCCACCGCUUGUGCGGGCCCCCGUCAAUUCCUUUGAGUUUCAGCCUUGCGACUGUACUCCCCAGGCGGCAUAUUUAACGCGUUAGCUCCGGCACGGAUCAACUGAAUGACCCACACCAAAUAUGCAUCGUUUAGGGCGUGGACUAC